Molecule: long non-coding RNA, 1028 nt
Organism: Grus americana (Whooping crane)
Lineage: Eukaryota; Metazoa; Chordata; Aves; Gruiformes; Gruidae
Exons: 7
Source: RefSeq, a predicted model, not a curated record
CUGAUGAAGACUGGCACCUGCUUGAAGUUGCAGCUGGCAACUUCAAAAUUUUCUGAGAAGAAAGUGUGGCUAUGCCGUCUGGAAGAUCUCCCAUCUGGUGCUCUGCAGCUUUCAGCUGGCUCUGAGGGCCAUAUCCUGCUCCAGUUGUAUCUGUGCAAGCCCUUCCUUUUGGAGCUGUGUGGCUGUUCUGACAGCUUUUGCUGCCACCUUGGGUCAGGGGCUCCUGGGAGCUUUUGCUGUUCGUAGAGUCCCAGAGAGCUGGUGCCAUGCAGGGAGAGCAAACUGAAGGGUCAAGGGGAUGUCAGGGUCACCUGGAAUGAUCUCAGCUUUUCCAUAUAAGCAGUAAAGAGCUGCUCUUUCCAGUGUCAGACUUGCUUUCUGGUCCAACAGCGUCUCUUACCGGAGGAGGAUGCUUCCUAGUCUCCAGUAAUACAAAGCAGUUUCCGGUUUGAGGGAGAAGAUGGGAACUGGCAGGAAGAUGAAUUGAUGUUGCUCAUGCCAGCUGUUGGAAAGACGCUGCAGCAUCCUGACCAGGACCGAUUGCUGGGACAAUGACAAAGAAAUGAGGUUACCGUGAAACUGAGAGAACACUGAGCUGCAUUUUGCAACAGACCCCUUGGUAUGGCAGUGCUGAAUAUUGGCUAAUACUUCAGACAAGUUAAAUGAAGCCAGGAGAAAACAAGCAUCCUUCCUCCCCAGAAGGAGGUGUCGGAAUGUGAUCACUGCGGAAGUCACUGUCACAUCAAGGAGGAAGUGCCCUGCCUGAAAAUCACAAGCUCCUACAGUAGGUGACGGCUGAACUGAUUCAGAAGGAAUAGUGUGCAGAAGAGCUGCUGAAGAAGAGAGGCGCUGGAUGCAGCUGCUGGCACAAUGGCAGGCAAUGUGGUCCACUCUCUCGGCAGUUACCCUGCUUAUAAACUCCCUUUACCCAAAUCUAUAAGCACCACUGUCUGAAUGCCUUCAGCUUCUUUUUGGGCUCAAGCUCUAACAGCGGCACCAAACCUCACCCUUGCUGACCAUGGACCUCG